Molecule: long non-coding RNA, 2251 nt
Filed under: Ornithorhynchus anatinus (platypus)
Lineage: Eukaryota; Metazoa; Chordata; Mammalia; Monotremata; Ornithorhynchidae
Description: lncRNA (ENSOANG00000049336.1)
Source: RNAcentral
GCGCUUAAUAAACACCAACAUUAUCAUCAUCACCUCCCCCAGCGCUUCGAUCGGUGCUCGGCACCUAGAAAGCGCUUAACAAACACCCCCAUCAUCAUCAUCUCCCCUAACGUUCAGAAGCGUGCUCGGCCGCUCGCAAGCGCUGGACAAAGCGGCCCCCGUUAUCACCAUCACCUCCCCCCGCGCCUCGAAAGGGCGGGAGAAAGGGCACCGUGCCCAUGGCGACCGUUUCCACGGAAACGAGGGGCGGGGCGGGGCUCCUCCCCGGGCUGCCUCAGUUUCCCGCCGCCCGUGGGGCCCCGCGCGGGGCCGGCCCUCCCUCCCUCCCUCCCCCCCCUCCACGAAGCGCUGUGCGCCUACCGCUCGUCGUCGUCGUCGUCGUCGUCGUCGUCGUCGUCCUCCCUCCCUCCUCCCUCCGCCUCAGGCUCCCGCCCGCUCCCGGCCUGCCCCGCGCGCCCACGUGCCGCGCCCCUUCCGCCCGGCGCGCGGCGCGCGCAGCCGGCCGGGGGCCUUCCGGGUCGGGGCGGCCGCGGCGGCCGCUGGGUAACCGCCUCCUCCCCCCCCCCUCCCCGCCCGCCCCCGGGGCGCGCGCGCGCGCGCGCGCGGCCUCCCUCCCCCUCCUCCCCCGCCCCCGCGCCCCCGGCCCUCCACCAAUCAGCGGGCCGGCAGGGAGGGACAUGCGCAGUGGGCGCCUCCCCUCUCCUCCAGCCCAGCCCCCCCCCCACCUCCUCCUCCUGUCUCUCUCUCCUGUCUCUCCCUCCUGUCUCUCCUGUCUCUCCUGUCUCUCCCCCCUCCCCUCCCUUUCCCCCCCCCACCCCCCCACCCCCCCUUGCAGCAGCAGCAGCAGAGGAGGAGGAUGAGGAGGAGGAGGGGAGAGAGGCAGGCUGGGGGGGGCCUCCUUUGAUUGCUCUUUUUUUUUCCCAAGGACCAGCCCCCCCCCCCCACCCAGUUGGAGCCCCCCCCCCCCACUUCCACCUUGAAUUGGGGGGGGGGGGUGAGGGUGGGGAGGAUGCAGGGCAGGACAGGCCCACUUGCCACCCUCCACCCCUGAGCCCUGGGGGGGUGGGGGGGAGGGAAGAGAGAGAGCCAAGGAAGAAGAGGAGCAGUUCUUUUUCUUCUUCUGCCCCCCCCAUCCUCUUCCUCCUCCCUGCAGCCCCCCAGGAUUGGAAGGGGGAGCCCCAAAGCCUCCUAGCAACCCAGCCUGGGCUGCUGCUUGGUCCUGGCUGGAGACACUCACAGACUCACACACACACACACACACACACACACACACACACAUCUCUACUGGGAGACCCAGGAAAAGCCACUCCUCCCCACCCCCUUCCCUCUCCCCCCCCCUUUAUUACCCUUUGUGUCAUCCUCCACAGCUCCAGGGAUGAGGGACUCUGGAAGUGGGGAGCAGGAAAGAAUUUCCUUCCAAUUGAGUAAGUGCUUUCAUUUCACAGAUGCUCCCGAGUAUGUUGCUGAACUCCGAGUUUUAGAUGCUCAUCGAGACUUAUCCUUUCCUGGAUUGGUGAACUAGUUGCCGAGGAAUCCGUCGUUCCCGGGCCAGAGCUCUGAAAGUCGCUACUGAGGCAGCCCAGGUAGGUGACGAGUCCGGCCACACGGACGGAUUCGGGAAAUAACCGGGGCCCGCCGGACAUUCCCGUCGCCCGCCACGCCUGCCGUUCGUCCCCUUACCCCCGUCAACUUCCGUCAGGCACAGACUCUCUCUCCUCCACUCUGCCUUCCUUCCCCGAAACGUCACGUUCGGUCUGUUGCCGGCGAUCCUGGCUACGGCAGUCCGGACGGCGAAAAUGGAGGUAGGCCGAACGGGCGGAAAAAAACGUAUCCCGGCGAAAUGAAGGGAUUUCCGACGAUCUGGCCGCACACGACUCAGUCGUCAGUGAGAAAUCGACGAGGUGAAAAUGGUCCGCUGGGGAAAUUAAUGGAGAGAAAAUAGGCGAGUCCCCCCCCAGAAUGUAUUACCUCCGGAAUAAAUUUCUCACCCCAACGCGCGUUGCAUUUUGCAACCACCCGACCUCUCUCAACCCUUCAGCCGCCUGUCUGAUCACAGACUCCCACAGAAGAACGCACCCACUUCUCUAGGUCUCCCACAGUGAGUUUGCCUGCCGUAGCCUUAUCGAUUAAUCGGUGGUAAAUGUAUGAGCACUUAUUUCCUCCGCAAUCCGCCAUUCCAGCGGAAGGGCGAGGACCGCACCUCACUUUACCCCAGACCCCCCACGUGAAUACUAGAUUACUUGGUCGUUAC